GAGUUUGAUCCUGGCUCAGGAUGAACGCUGGCGGCGUGCCUAACACAUGCAAGUCGAACGGAUCCAUAUUGAAACCUAGUGAUGUAUGGAUUAGUGGCGGACGGGUGAGUAACGCGUGGAUAACCUGCCGUAUACAGGGGGAUAACACUUAGAAAUAGGUGCUAAUACCGCAUAAGCGCACGGUUCCGCAUGGAACAGUGUGAAAAACUCCGGUGGUAUACGAUGGAUCCGCGUCUGAUUAGCCAGUUGGCGGGGUAACGGCCCACCAAAGCGACGAUCAGUAGCCGGCCUGAGAGGGUGAACGGCCACAUUGGGACUGAGACACGGCCCUAACUCCUACGGGAGGCAGCAGUGGGGAAUAUUGCACAAUGGGGGAAACCCUGAUGCAGCGACGCCGCGUGAGUGAAGAAGUAUGUAGGUACGUAAAGCUCUAUCAGCAGGG
Molecule: ribosomal RNA, 442 nt
Filed under: uncultured bacterium
Lineage: Bacteria
Description: bacterial SSU rRNA
Rfam family: Bacterial small subunit ribosomal RNA
Source: RNAcentral